RNAcentral lists this transfer RNA (107 nucleotides) under Candidatus Omnitrophota bacterium. RNAcentral describes it as "tRNA-Glu". The stretch from base 1 to 60 matches the Rfam family "tRNA", at positions 9 to 71 of the family's 71-position model. From Rfam's summary of the family: Transfer RNA (tRNA) molecules are approximately 80 nucleotides in length. The record is from RNAcentral. Lineage: Bacteria; Pseudomonadati; Candidatus Omnitrophota.
CGUCUAGUGGCAGGACAACAGCCUUUCGAGCUGACAACGCGGGUUCUCCCGCCGUUGGCGGGAUCCGCCCCCAGCAAGGAACCGCUGGGCGGAGAUUCCCGCCCGAG